Molecule: ribosomal RNA, 497 nt
Filed under: uncultured bacterium
Lineage: Bacteria
Description: partial 16S ribosomal RNA
Rfam family: Bacterial small subunit ribosomal RNA
Source: RNAcentral
GAUGAACGCUGGCGGCGUGCCUAAUACAUGCAAGUCGAGCGAACGGACGAGAAGCUUGCUUCUCUGAUGUUAGCGGCGGACGGGUGAGUAACACGUGGAUAACCUACCUAUAAGACUGGGAUAACUUCGGGAAACCGGAGCUAAUACCGGAUGAUAUUUUGAACCGCAUGGUUCAAAAGUGAAAGACGGUCUUGCUGUCACUUAUAGACGGAUCCGCGCUGCAUUAGCUAGUUGGUAAGGUAACGGCUUACCAAGGCAACGAUGCAUAGCCGACCUGAGAGGGUGAUCGGCCACACUGGAACUGAGACACGGUCCAGACUCCUACGGGAGGCAGCAGUAGGGAAUCUUCCGCAAUGGGCGAAAGCCUGACGGAGCAACGCCGCGUGAGUGAUGAAGGUCUUCGGAUCGUAAAACUCUGUUAUUAGGGAAGAACAUAUGUGUAAGUAACUGUGCACAUCUUGACGGUACCUAAUCAGAAAGCCACGGCUAACUACGUG